This 497-nucleotide ribosomal RNA is filed under the name uncultured bacterium. Its description in RNAcentral is "partial 16S ribosomal RNA". It matches the Rfam family "Bacterial small subunit ribosomal RNA", at positions 28 to 507 of the family's 1533-position model. The record is from RNAcentral.
GAUGAACGCUGGCGGCGUGCCUAAUACAUGCAAGUCGAGCGAACAGACGAGGAGCUUGCUCCUUUGACGUUAGCGGCGGACGGGUGAGUAACACGUGGGUAACCUACCUAUAAGACUGGGAUAACUUCGGGAAACCGGAGCUAAUACCGGAUAAUAUUUCGAACCGCAUGGUUCGAUAGUGAAAGAUGGCUUUGCUAUCACUUAUAGAUGGACCUGCGCCGUAUUAGCUAGUUGGUAAGGUAACGGCUUACCAAGGCAACGAUACGUAGCCGACCUGAGAGGGUGAUCGGCCACACUGGAACUGAGACACGGUCCAGACUCCUACGGGAGGCAGCAGUAGGGAAUCGUCCGCAAUGGGCGAAAGCCUGACGGAGCAACGCCGCGUGAGUGAUGAAGGUCUUCGGAUCGUAAAACUCUGUUAUUAGGGAAGAACAAACGUGUAAGUAACUGUGCACGUCUUGACGGUACCUAAUCAGAAAGCCACGGCUAACUACGUG